UACGUAGGGAGCAAGCGUUGUCCGGAAUCAUUGGGCGUAAAGCGCGCGUAGGUGGCUUCGUAAGUCCGUUGUGAAAGUCAAAGGCUCAACCUUUGAAAGCCGAUGGAUACUGCGGAGCUAGAGUACGGAAGAGGCGAGUGGAAUUCCUGGUGUAGCGGUGGAAUGCGCAGAUAUCAGGAGGAACACCAAUAGCGAAGGCAGCUCGCUGGGACGUUACUGACGCUGAGGCGCGAAAGCGUGGGGAGCGAACAGG
RNAcentral lists this ribosomal RNA (253 nucleotides) under uncultured bacterium. Its description in RNAcentral is "partial 16S ribosomal RNA". It matches the Rfam family "Bacterial small subunit ribosomal RNA", at positions 524 to 776 of the family's 1533-position model. The record is from RNAcentral.